This 221-nucleotide long non-coding RNA is filed under the name Physcomitrium patens. Its description in RNAcentral is "long non-coding RNA (PPAT_LNC008445)". Lineage: Eukaryota; Viridiplantae; Streptophyta; Bryopsida; Funariales; Funariaceae. The record is from RNAcentral.
UUUUUUCAAAGAUGAUAAAAUAUAAUCAAAGGAGAGUGGAAAAAAACUAAAGACGAAUUUUGAUAAAGGAAGAAUGAAGUGAUUUGUAGAAGAUACUUUUAAAGUGCAUACAAUCUCAAGGAAUGAAGCAUCAACAUAUUAGAUGGAAGCAAAUCCAACCAAAUAUUUAAGCAUAAAUUUAGAAUUUUAAGGAAAAUCUAGUUCUUUUUAGUCAAAUGCAA